Molecule: non-coding RNA, 193 nt
Filed under: Cutibacterium acnes
Lineage: Bacteria; Bacillati; Actinomycetota; Actinomycetes; Propionibacteriales; Propionibacteriaceae
Source: RNAcentral
GAUAACCCUUCGUGUGGCGGUGAUGGGAGGCAAGAGGGAAUCCGGUGGGAAACCGGAACUGCCCCGCAGCGGUAACAGGGAACGACGGCGACAUCACGCACUGGCCAGCUGACUGGGAAGCGUCGCUCGGUAGGAACCCGUCUAACGACGGAGGCCCUGAAGUCCGAAUACCUGCCAGUACCCGGGUCAACGA